RNAcentral lists this long non-coding RNA (208 nucleotides) under Coturnix japonica (Japanese quail). RNAcentral's name for it is "lncRNA (ENSCJPG00005021018.1)". The record is from RNAcentral. Lineage: Eukaryota; Metazoa; Chordata; Aves; Galliformes; Phasianidae.
CCUGGACUUUAUUUGGGAAGCUGAGAAUGGAAGAGAAACAAAAGAGUUUCUAAGGCCCUUUGGAAAUCAAGUAGAAGCCAAACUAAGGCUGUGUUGUUCCUCAAAGUAUAGCAUGGGAUCUCCUAAGGAGUGAGAUGAAAUUUAUUCCAAUCCUGAGUGCUUGAAAAUACCUAACUUGGAAAUGAUGCCUCUGGUGAGGAACCCUGAG